UUUAAAUGUGCCAUAUCAUCUCGCAGAAAAAGAAGCAAAAACGUUUAACGCUGAACACAGAACAGUUCGCUUACCCAUAACAAUGUAGAAAUUCAUAAAACGGCAAAAUGUCACGAUAGCGGCCAUAUUGAAAAAGAGUUCGGCGGAAUAAUACAAUGUAAACAUUACAGUAACUGAUCUCUGUGCAAUUUAUAUGUGAACGCGGUAGAUUGACUAAACAUUUUCACGGACUAUCAAAAUUUUACAUCUCGUCUUUUUCACAUUUACCUCACAUUAUGAGCAAUAGAAAGAGCCAUUUAGAAACAUAAUGGUUCACAUUAAUCGGCGGGUUACUUGUAGCGAAAUCGCGAACUGGGGAAAAACGCCAUGACAGCUCUUCUACGUGGGACGGGCACAGUUGUGUCGAUACAAGUAAAAGUCAGGAGGGAUGUUACGAAGAUUCUUGUAUAUUUCGGGACACAAAUGUUUAUAUGUGCUUUUCAUUUCAGGAUAUUUGUUUACAGGACUGACAUACCGUUGUGUGUUUCAUAUUAUUUUGCGUAUUAUGAACGUAUAGUAUGAGAUUUUUUAAAAAUGUUUACAGGACAUAUAAAUAAAAUCUUCUUUAAAAAAUGUAUUUUUAGUGUUAUGGAACAUUUCGUAUCCACUUAAUUAAAAACAUGCGGUAAGAAGAAAUAUUUAUUUAUGUAACGCUUACAACAUUUUUUGAGUAAGACCUGUAAAAAAACAUUGAGUGCGGUUUACUUAUUUCUGAUUUUAUUUAUUUUUUUGUUUUCCUUUUUAGCUUCAUUUUCCCAAUUGAAUGCAUGUAUUGUUAUCAUUAAUUUACUUAUACAUAUCAACUCUGAAUCAUUCCCGAAGAUAGAGAAAAAAAAAUCUAGUAAACAAGCGAAUCAAUACACAUAACGUGAUCAUUCAUGAAAUUCUUUCUAAAAUGUUUUAAAUAAGGACAAUCAUUAUGUAUAUAAUGAACCGUGAAUUGUUUUGAAAUUUGAUACUUCUUUAUUUCAGGUUUUCAUGUCACCAAGUGCAAAGUUAAUGAUAAAGAUAAUUGUUCCCACUAUGUGUUCAAUAAUAUCUGACCUUCAUUGUAUUUGCGAUUAGUAUUUUUCUCUCAAAUAGCUUUGAAAUUAUUAUUUUUCAACAGAGUUUUUUUCAGCUGUAGGUCAAGUUAUAAUGAAAUAAAAAAAAAAACAACUUUUUAUCUGGUCCGAGCUUUUCGACUUUCAGUAAUUGUAUAUCCAUUAAAAUAUUGUUUACAUAUUUUUAACACGAUCGGCAUAAUCAUUUUUAUACUUAAGAAAAUCUCAGACACAUCAUUUGUGAACUGGUUUAAAUUUUCUUUUGGUGUUUAAUAGAUAGAUUAUCUUUAUCAACAAUUAUUACAGAUUAAUUCAUCCUCUGUAUCUGUUAAAUGUGAACAUCCUGUAUAACUUCGAUCAUUGUGAUUUUAUUUAUUGAUGUUUUAUUAUGUUCAAUGUAUAUUUGACGAUGUACACAUGUACAAGUCUGAAUAAAUUAUCUGUUCUGUUCUGUUCUGU
Molecule: long non-coding RNA, 1541 nt
Organism: Mercenaria mercenaria
Lineage: Eukaryota; Metazoa; Mollusca; Bivalvia; Venerida; Veneridae
Exons: 2
Source: RefSeq, a predicted model, not a curated record